AUGGCCGCCAUGGCCAGAGCUAAGCCGAUCGGAAGCCUACUGCUCCUCUUUUCUAAACGAAGUUCUGCUUCACUGACUAAGACUUCAAAUAGACUUGGCAUCUUGCUACAAGGUGAAAUGCUAAGAUCAAAGCUACUGGAACUACCCCUUCGUCUGUUCAACAGAAAGAUAAAGAAAUCUAGAAAAUUUCUGCUUUCUUGAUGUGGCCUGUGCUUCAGAGACCCACCUUGACUUUAACUCAGUUGCAAAGAAUGUUGCUCCAGGUCCCUGCUUCUCCUGAUGUCACUUCAUCUAGGGGAAACCAGUGGCUCAAGAGUAAAUGGAUGAAGAAAGGCAAUCAGGAAGACUUGAGCUGUUUGUUCUGAUAAAUGCCUGGUACCUAGGUGCUUUAUAUCUGUCGACUAUAAGCAGUCUUGGGAAAUGUCUUGAAGGAAGAUCUUUGAAAUAUGUUUAGCUUUACUCAAAAGGCCAAUCCUCAGAAAAUAUAAUAGUUCCUGAAGUCUUAAGCAUUUCAUGACUCGUAAGGAACAGACAUUCCAGCAUCCCUCUCACAGUGCCUGGGAUGUUAAAAUACCAUUUAGAUCCUUGAAGUAAGUUGAUAUUUUCACCUCAUAAAAAUACCUCUGCAUGUUCACCUGAGAAGAAGAAAAAUGUGACAUUUUCUGGUGGCUUUCAUGAAGAAUCCCAGUACCCUUUUUCAAAAGAAAUGGAAAAGUCUUCAAUUCCAGAUGCUGGGAGAUGGAGGAAGGUAGGAAAUUAGUGUCUGUACUUCUAAGAACAGUGCAUUGUUUUCCACAAAAUGUGAAGUGCUUCGUGUGUACAUGCAUAAAUAUUGACCAGACGAGUCUUUAUUUAUCUUUGAUUUCUGUUCUGCUUGCAGGUUAUUCAAAGGCAAGAAUUUCAGCGGGAGUUGGAUUCAUUCUUAGAUAUCAGUGAACCAUCUUGAACUUCCUACGUGUCAGUUCUCUGGCUCUCUAAACCCAGUGAACAGAUGCUAGCUCUAAUGUAUAUCAGGACAUCCUUAUUUUGUCACUGCUGGGGUACCACAGCCUUGCCAUCUAAUUUGCUGGUCUUUCUACUCUAUUGAAAUUAAUAUUUGAAAUGUGAAAACCCCAAUAUUAGCACCGAAUAUUUUAAACAUUUUAUAGCCCUUCAGCUGUUCUGUAGUGCCAGUUUGUUUUCCAUUCCCCUUGACAUCUCACAAUGCUAAGUGCCCAGUGACAGCCUGUAGAGGUUUCGCCAUAAUCCACCUUUAUCCAUUAACAGACACUCAAUCACUAAAGUGCUUACUAGACUAAACAUAUUUAUCCAACCAAAUCACACUUUACAAUGCAAAUCUGCCAAUCAGACCCCGGCUAUUAACAAGGAACUGCUUUAAGGGGAUUUUGGUGUUUGUGCUGUGAAGAGCCUGCUUACCUCCAACAAACCACUAAACCAAAUUAACAUAGCUGUAUCCUCAUAAAAGAAACCAGAUAUCCUGUUGUGAAAAUAGAGAGCUUGGUGGGACAGGCCUCCUUUGAUGGCUAACAGUGUGGCAGACAAGGCUUCAGACUUCAAAUCUGGCUACCACCAAGUCAUUACAAACCGCCAGCAUCAAGCUUUUGAUAACUUUAAAAGCAAAAUAAAAAUGUAGCGUUGGGGUAACUCA
Molecule: long non-coding RNA, 1648 nt
Filed under: Oryctolagus cuniculus (rabbit)
Lineage: Eukaryota; Metazoa; Chordata; Mammalia; Lagomorpha; Leporidae
Description: lncRNA (ENSOCUG00000035320.1)
Source: RNAcentral